Molecule: ribosomal RNA, 207 nt
Filed under: uncultured Peptostreptococcaceae bacterium
Lineage: Bacteria; Bacillati; Bacillota; Clostridia; Peptostreptococcales; Peptostreptococcaceae
Description: partial 16S ribosomal RNA
Rfam family: Bacterial small subunit ribosomal RNA
Source: RNAcentral
UGCGUAGGCGGUCUUUCAAGUCAGGAGUGAAAGGCUACGGCUCAACCGUAGUAAGCUCUUGAAACUGUAAGACUUGAGUGCAGGAGAGGAGAGUGGAAUUCCUAGUGUAGCGGUGAAAUGCGUAGAUAUUAGGAGGAACACCAGUUGCGAAGGCGGCUCUCUGGACUGUAACUGACGCUGAGGCACGAAAGCGUGGGGGAGCAAACA